GGUUAUAUAUGGACCCGACCCAACCCGACCCUAAUGAUCCAUUGGGUCAAGAUUUUUGAUCAUGAAUCGACCUGUCCCAAUCUGAUCUUUUAUUGGGCUGGAUUUAGGCCCAAUAUUCAGACCCGAUUAAGGAACUGGAUUGAUUGGGGUCACUCAUGAUCCGAUCCGAUUUGACCCAUUUGCACUCUUAUCUAACCCAAAUUUGAACUGGAUCUAGUCCAUUGACCGGCC
RNAcentral lists this long non-coding RNA (231 nucleotides) under Elaeis guineensis (African oil palm). Its description in RNAcentral is "long non-coding RNA (EGUI_LNC014894)". The record is from RNAcentral. Lineage: Eukaryota; Viridiplantae; Streptophyta; Magnoliopsida; Arecales; Arecaceae.